This is a non-coding RNA of Musa acuminata subsp. malaccensis (wild Malaysian banana), 595 nucleotides long. Lineage: Eukaryota; Viridiplantae; Streptophyta; Magnoliopsida; Zingiberales; Musaceae. The record is from RefSeq and is a predicted model, not a curated record.
GCGAGGCCGCAAAGAUGAUGAAAGAUCGGAACCACUGGUGGUACUCUCCUCAACCCUCGCUUCGCCGACGACAGCAUCGCCAAUCUUGUCGAGAGCCGGCGGAUUGAUUCGCGUCGGGAUGCAUGAGUUUGCAGAAGGAACUUUACUUCCUUUCGAGUAUGCCCAGAGCUGACCUGUUUUGAUGAAUGGUCUGUUCAGGUUUGGGCUUGAACAACAAAAAGUUUGAUGCUGAUAACUUGCAGCUCAAGCGCUGGAGCAAGACACUGGGUAGUCUACAUCUGAGAUCACUGAUGGCUCCGCCACCAAUGAGGAGUUUUGGUUUUGGUUUGAUUAAGUGCUGAUCCUCCCAUAUCUGAUUAUAUCAACGGAAUAACCAAAAUCUUAGAUAUUGUUCUUAUUGGCUUCUAAGGUGUUGUUUAUUCUUGAUAACAUAUACAUGCAAUCAUCUCCUGAUACUAGUUGGGGAUUUUGAACAAAUGGGUUGUUUUUUUGCCCUUUUUGAGCUCCACGAUGAUCACAUGGGUGGAGAGUGAUUGUUGCCAAGAGCUGAGUACGACGUCUUGCUGGUUGCAUAUCUGUGCAGAUAUGCACAAGG